GAUGAACGCUGGCGGCGUGCCUAAUACAUGCAAGUCGAGCGAACAGACGAGGAGCUUGCUCCUUCGACGUUAGCGGCGGACGGGUGAGUAACACGUAGGUAACCUACCUAUAAGACUGGGAUAACUUCGGGAAACCGGAGCUAAUACCGGAUAAUAUUUCGAACCGCAUGGUUCGAUAGUGAAAGAUGGCUUUGCUAUCACUUAUAGAUGGACCUGCGCCGUAUUAGCUAGUUGGUAAGGUAACGGCUUACCAAGGCAACGAUACGUAGCUGACCUGAGAGGGUGAUCGGCCACACUGGAACUGAGACACGGUCCAGACUCCUACGGGAGGCAGCAGUAGGGAAUCUUCCGCAAUGGGCGAAAGCCUGACGGAGCAACGCCGCGUGAGUGAUGAAGGUCUUCGGAUCGUAAAACUCUGUUAUUAGGGAAGAACAAACGUGUAAGUAACUGUGCACGUCUUGACGGUACCCAAUCAGAAAGCCACGGCUAACUACGUG
This 497-nucleotide ribosomal RNA is filed under the name uncultured bacterium. RNAcentral describes it as "partial 16S ribosomal RNA". It matches the Rfam family "Bacterial small subunit ribosomal RNA", at positions 28 to 507 of the family's 1533-position model. The record is from RNAcentral.